Molecule: ribosomal RNA, 870 nt
Filed under: Triticum aestivum (bread wheat)
Lineage: Eukaryota; Viridiplantae; Streptophyta; Magnoliopsida; Poales; Poaceae
Description: partial small subunit ribosomal RNA
Source: RNAcentral
AUGCGAGGUGCCCUGUGCCUGGCAGAGUCCAAACGAAAAGGAGAGCAAAAUGUUUGGCUAUAUGGAUGCCCAACUAUUUUGCAGAUACACUACUUCAACUCGGUUGAUACCGGUUAUCUCACCAUCGAUACAACAAAGCAAGCCGCGGUUAAGCUGUAUUCAACUUCUGUAGUGAGAACUUUCAUCGAAGCAGAUACCUUCGAAGAGGAUGGCCAGGUCAAGUAUGGAGGCUUGAAGGGAAAAGUUGCUUGUUCUGGAAAAGCUAUAGCUGUCGGUUGUAUACACUAUGAGACACUAUUAUACCUAAAAGGAAAGUUGAGAAUGUCUAUGUUAAAGGCAGAUUCAGUAUGUCAUGAGUUCAACGAGCUCAUGUCCAAGGAUCAUUCAAAUGAUGUUGGCAUGAUAAAGAGACGGAUAGAAGAGCAUGAUAUGGCACAGACUCUAUCGAGGCUUCAUGAAUGGAAAGAUAACGACGCCAAAAUUGAACCAGCCUUAAAAGGUAAAUGUGGAUGGAGCCCAAAUAUGCCACCACGCAUAUUAGAAGGUGUGGUUGUUAGUACAGAAGACUGUAAUGAUAUUGAAAAUUGGGAAAGGAAGAAAAUUGCAACAGGAUCUGCAAGUACAGAUGAGGACCAUGAUAUCAAAACAGUAGCAGAGGCACUUGCUGGGAUGAAAGCAGGUUUGUUUGGUGCUGGGUUAAGUGGGGCAUGUGGCUCUAGGCAAGGUACAUGCACACGUACAACUACAGUCAAUUCAACAAAGCAGACACUGAUGGUACAAGAAGCUAGUUCACUUACUGGAGAAAUAAACAAGGGCGGUAAGUUUGUGUUCUUGUUUACUGUUGAAGAUAAAGCAUCAUGUUCCAUAUGA